RNAcentral lists this ribosomal RNA (433 nucleotides) under uncultured bacterium. RNAcentral's name for it is "partial 16S ribosomal RNA". It matches the Rfam family "Bacterial small subunit ribosomal RNA", at positions 29 to 507 of the family's 1533-position model. The record is from RNAcentral.
AACGAACGCUGGCGGCAUGCCUAACACAUGCAAGUCGAACGAGACCUUCGGGUCUAGUGGCGCACGGGUGCGUAACGCGUGGGAACCUGCCCUUAGGUUCGGAAUAACUCCCCGAAAGGGGUGCUAAUACCGGAUAAUGUCUUCGGACCAAAGAUUUAUCGCCUUUGGGUGGGCCCGCGUUGGAUUAGCUAGUUGGUAGGGUAAAAGCCUACCAAGGCGACGAUCCAUAGCUGGUCUGAGAGGAUGAUCAGCCACACUGGGACUGAGACACGGCCCAGACUCCUACGGGAGGCAGCAGUGGGGAAUAUUGGACAAUGGGCGAAAGCAUGAUCCAGCAAUGCCGCGUGAGUGAUGAAGGCCGUAGGGUUGUAAAGCUCUUUUACCCGGGAUGAUAAUGACAGUACCGGGAGAAUAAGCUCCGGCUAACUCCGUG